This is a long non-coding RNA of Equus quagga, 1854 nucleotides long. RefSeq lists it as uncharacterized. The transcript is spliced from 4 exons. The record is from RefSeq and is a predicted model, not a curated record. Lineage: Eukaryota; Metazoa; Chordata; Mammalia; Perissodactyla; Equidae.
GAGACGAGGGAGGGGAGAGAGUGGAAUAAAGUUUGCAGCGCGCAGGUGACGGGGGUGGGAUUGGCCCCGUCCGGUGGGUUGGCCGCCUAGGGUCGCUUCCCUGCGCUUUAGAACUUGGAAAAAGGCGAGAAUGACCUUUCCUCUACCUAUUGCUUUUUAAGUUUUUUUUCUUUCUCUCUAAAGAAUAUUUAUCUGGCAUUUCCCUUUUUGGGCCUCCUCCACUAAGACCCUGGAAAGUUAGCGUAGUGAGCAUGGGAGGGGGCGAGGUGGAGCCCCCCACGGCGCGCCGCCGCCUCUCCGAGUUUCGCGCGUCUCCGCCGCCUGUGCUGGCCGACAUGGGAAAGCCCGACGACGCGCCGGGAGGCUCAGCUGCCCCAGCCGGCCGACACGCGCCCCUGCGGGGCGGAGCGGCCGGGGCUGCGCCCACCCCGGGCUGGGGGCCGAGCAGGCGGCGGGGGCUCGAGCGCGCCGCCUGGGUGGCUGCGGCUUCGGCAGACAGAGGGUCUCCGCGGGGAGCACAAGCGAGUGCAGCAGCAAGCGGCUUGGGGCUCAUUUCGGGAUGAAGCAAGCGGCUGCCGCUCGGUUUCUGAAACAGAUGGCAGAACCUGCACGUUCGAGACGAUCACUUCAGGGCGAACCUAUUUCGAGAGAGAAAGCUAAAGGAGGGGACCUGAUUAAAACAGGCGGUCUCUUCACAGACCCGCAAAUUAUGGACCCUGGGAACCGUCUUCUCCUUUUACUAUACGUAAAUGGGGAUCUUGCUAAGAAUCUUAAAAGUGUGAUCAUCGGACACUCCCAGCUAUCGGUUGUGGUAUCUGGCAGUAAAAUACCCCCUUCUUUUGAGAGAGGUGUAAAGGUGAGCUUGGAGCUCUGAGGAACAGCCGCUAAUGUGAAAAAGAAGCAUACUGUUGUGAAGAUGUGCUUGUAACACACCCCUGCCCUCUCUAUCUGUCCACGAGAGGAACUUUGGGGCAGCUUCUUCUGCAGAGGAUGUACAAAGAAUCUGGAACAGUCUGCAAGGGUGCCGGAGCUGAGGGGGAAGGGAGAAUAGGAAUCACCUCCAGUCUGGCAAUAGGGACCACGCUGGAAUGACAGCUUGUAAAAGAAGCCUCCAUCAGUCUCCCAGGAGACAGCCGGCCUCAACUUGGGUGUUCCCCGCUUGUUAGCCUCAAUCAUAAUUGGUCUCUCCUCCCAUCCCACGUUGUUGGUUUUCUGUGUGUGGCUUUUGGUGUGAGCGUGUUAGGUCAUCAACAAACACAAUAGCGGGAGGGGGCAAGGGGGGACACACAUGAUUGUUUUAAAGAAGAAAGGAGAAAAAGGAUAAGAGAGUGGGCAGGAAGGCUUUGAACAGAAUGGGGAAGAUGCCCCAGGAUUUAGGCUUCCCGAGGCAACCCCUGGUGUGCUGGGGGUGGGUAGAGUGCUCCCUGGGAGUUUUGUCAAAGGGAGAAGCCCACCAGGAGCUGGGGCCCCUGCUGUGCGCCACUGGGGACACGCAUCUAUUCCGUGCAAUGUCUGUUUGCUGGUCUCUGGAGCUGCCUGUAGCCUCCUGCCCACGUCCCGUGCAUCUCAGCAAAAAGAAUCCCAAUCAGUGUGGCGUGCCCCAGAGAGGGUGUGAGUCUGGGCUGAAGGCCUAAAGAGCAGCCCGGAACCCCAGGCGGGGCAGUGUGUGUGUAGGGGGGACACACCAGCACCUUCCGGUCAGCCUUUCUCCAUUCAUUUUUAAAAUCGUUUCUCCCGCUGGCCCCAUAAUUUUUUUCUCCAUCCUCAUGUUUUCUUUUCUCCUCUUCUCAGAGGAAAACCAGUCCUGGGGGUAGAGGCUAUAAGAACUUUGUGACCUCAGCCUGCUGUAAAGCU